UAAUUAAUGUACCCCUGAAAGAAAUCGAUUCAUUUCUCUCUCUCUCUCUUCUCGAGAAUUCCUCUCCAGAAAAAGUAAACCCUAGAUUUAAUUCAAUACUCGGGUGUGCUUGGUUUCCUUACGAUUUAUUUAACAGAGAAUACAAAUCUACCUUUGAGAUCUACAGAUCGAGAAUUUUUGCUAGACAGGCUUUUGAUUGGUAUACGUUUUUGUUCAAUUUGAACCAUAUAUAUUGUUAAAACUCAAGUUUGUAAGAUGAAGCGAUCAGGAUACUGAACUGGAAUUCUGAAGGAAAUAAGCGAUCAGGUGUUUUCAAACUUUUCUCUUGUAAAAAUUUAGUUUUGUUAGUGGUUGUUUACUGGAUUUUGAGGUUUAGAUUUUAUAGAUCUAGUUGGGAAUUUUACGUCGAUGGAUGUGAAUGAUUUAGUGAUCGUGUUUAACUUGGAAAUGCUUUUGUAGAUUUAGUUUAAUUGUUUAAAAUUUACAGAUUAAUUUCAGUUAGUUUUGCAAUUUUGGCAGAUUUAUCUCUCAGUAGACUUCUUUUUUUUUUUUUUUCUUUUGUAAUUGUUAAUCACAUUUAAAAUCGACGGGAAAAAGGAAGUAAGUUGCAAUGAAAUUAUGAAUCUAUUGUACACUAUAUACGGAGAAUUACUAUUUCUUGUUCAGAUUAUGCUUAGAAUUUUUGUAGAAACUUGUUACUAUCAUUUUUCAGUGAGAAAUGGCCGUACAUGCAUACUAGAACUCACGAAUACAUUUGAGUAGACAUAAGAAAUGUUUUGAGGCCAUAACAGGUCAAGUUGCAGGGUUGGUAGUGGAUAAGUGAGGUUGAUUUUGAUCUGGAUUUUCAGCCGGAGAGGCAAGGUCUGUGUAAAAACGGAUAAGUUUCACAGUAAUAUUAGCCAUGUCCAAUUAGUACACUUGUCUUGGUUUCAGUGAAUUCUCAGACACGUUUUUGAAUUCAUCCUUUACUGCACUCUCACUUCCUGGUUGCUUCUUUACCUCUGGAGAAGAAGAGGUGCUACUUUGUGGACCUGUUCGGUUCAAAUGGAUGUAGCUUCUCGAGAGGUGGAUGCAUUAACUUUUUCAUUUGCUUUAAUCUUUUAUUCCUGCCUCUUUUUGGCAAAUUUAGCUCUUAGAUACAAAUUAAUGGAUGUUUAGUGGUCCUGACUCCUAGUACUAUAUAUUAUAUUGUUGUGUGCAGGAAUACCGACAAUCAUCAUCAAUUUGAGAAAUUAUUUGUUGUUUGUACUGUUUAGUUGGUAUUGAAGUCCUCUUUAGUUAGUUUAUAUGGAGUAUCAUGUUGUUUUAUUCCUUUUUCCCUUGCCAUUCGUAUAUUGUCACUUUGCAGAAAAUCUUGACUUCGAGUUACUAAUUAGUUGCAGUUCCCCCUCUCUAGUAGAGAAUUUCAGAGCUGGAGGCUCAACCCGCUUUUUGUUGGACCAAGGCAACUUCCUUAUGAAAGAAACAGACGGAGUCAACAAAAGAGAAGGACUGAUUGAAGGAUAGCAGCUCCCUAGCUGCUUGAGAUAUCUGUUCACAAAUCAGGUAGCGAAGCCUUUUCUCUUGUAGGGAUUUAACUCAGUUCAAAUGGUUCUGUUAUUUUUUCACCCCUGUAUAUAUUGUGAGAGUGACCACAAGGCGAACACAAAUGGAGGUUUAGAAUUUCCUCUUGACCUUCUGUGACGAGGAUACUCAAUAUGAGACCUUGAUAGAAGGAACUUCUGGAGAUACAGGACGGAGAUUUAGCUUAACUAUGAGAGAUCACCAAGACCAAGCACUAGAGUUUGGCACUUGCAUCAUAUGAAAGAUUAUUAAAUAGGCUUCAUUGGAAAGCUCCCGAAGUGCUAACAUUUUUCUCUCUCAGGGAAGUUUAUCGCAAUCUUUGUUACAUCUUCAGCAUUGGGAGCAACAUUAUAUAUGGUUACGAUACUUGAAUUCAUUGUUUAUAUUAUGUUGCAGGGGAUCUAGAGAGUACUAUCAGGAAACUGGAAGAAAGCAACUCCCUGUUUGCCACCCGCGCAGAUAAGUUUUCUGUUCCACUUACAAUCUUAGCAUAAUCUUGCCUUAAGUCUAAUUUGACUUGAUCAGAUCUUUAUCAUUAGCUCAAUAUACAUGCUAGUAUAGCUUUGUCAUCAGUUUAUGGAAGCAUUAUGCCUUGAUCUAGUGUACUUAAUGGAACACUAGUAUUGUAGGUCUUGAUGUGAGUAGAGCAUGAACAAUAGGAAACAGAAGAUGCUCAUUUAUGGGCUGAGCAAGACGUGAAUGCUCAAAAAGAUAAAGCUCACAAGCUUCAUGUUUCCUCUCUUCCUUUUCUUAUUCUGAUAUGUUCAGAGACUAGAAUUGAAUGUUAUGAAAACUGCUAUCUUUGUAUCUGUACAGAGGCAGAGCGUCAGUGCGUCCGCAAUAGCUGUUGUCUUGAGAAACUUAAGCUAGUCAUCUAGAUAACAGUCCUGAUAAAACAUCUCAGGGAGAACUUUUUUUCCACCAACUUGUGAUCUUUUUGCUUUCCUUUCCUCAUAUUUUCCUAUGUCAAUCACGUAACUCUACUUACUGUUUGAGAUUAUUUAACAUGCUUUUGUUUAUUUUGCAUUACUAAAUGUCCAUUGUUGGUUUUGAUUGAUGUAGGAAUUUCAUGAGUCAAGCUUGCCUGCUAGUUACUGUUGUGGAAUUAGAUGAAGACAGAAAGCUUGGAGAUAUUAUGAUCGUGCAGUUGAUCAAUUAGCCAAAACCAGGUGUCAUGCGAUUUCGGCAUUGUUAUUUUUGGAUUUUAGUCUAUGCAAGACUGUUUUGGGAUUUUAUCUUUAGCAAUGUGGUUUGGGGGUCUUCUUUCUAGGAUGUUAUUUGGACAAAGAAUAUGUAUGAGAUUUGAGUUUUGCAAUAUAUGUCACUUUAUUGAAGUUAAAAAGCUUCUUUGUUUGUCA
Long non-coding RNA from Papaver somniferum (opium poppy), 2921 nucleotides. RefSeq lists it as uncharacterized. The record is from RefSeq and is a predicted model, not a curated record. NCBI's taxonomy places the organism in Eukaryota, Viridiplantae, Streptophyta, Magnoliopsida, Ranunculales, Papaveraceae. The transcript is spliced from 3 exons.